Molecule: non-coding RNA, 88 nt
Organism: Geotrichum candidum
Lineage: Eukaryota; Fungi; Ascomycota; Dipodascomycetes; Dipodascales; Dipodascaceae
Source: the annotation of a GenBank genome assembly
GGUUGUAUAGUGUAGUGGUGAUCACAUCGGAUUCUGACUUAAAAAAUCAUAAUUUCCGGGAACCCCGGUUCGAUCCCGGGUACGACCU